Molecule: ribosomal RNA, 468 nt
Filed under: uncultured bacterium
Lineage: Bacteria
Description: partial 16S ribosomal RNA
Rfam family: Bacterial small subunit ribosomal RNA
Source: RNAcentral
GACGAACGCUGGCGGCGUGCUUAACACAUGCAAGUCGAACGGAAAGGCCCUGCUUUUGUGGGGUGCUCGAGUGGCGAACGGGUGAGUAACACGUGAGUAACCUGCCCUUGACUUUGGGAUAACUUCAGGAAACUGGGGCUAAUACCGGAUAGGAGCUCCUGCUGCAUGGAGGGGGUUGGAAAGUUUCGGCGGUUGGGGAUGGACUCGCGGGUUAUCAGCUUGUUGGUGGGGUAGUGGCUUACCAAGGCUUUGAAGGGUAGCCGGCCUGAGAGGGUGACCAGGCUCAUUGGGCCUGCGGGAGGGCCCAGUGUGCUAUGUGGGGCAAUGGGGGGAAAUAUGGCACAGCGGGGCCGAGCCUAAGGAGACAACGCCCGGUUUGUGAAGUACGUCUUCGGGGUGGAAACCGCUUUCGGCUGAGACGAAGCGUGAGUGACGGUAAUGGGUAAAGAAGCACCGGCUAACUACGUG